RNAcentral lists this ribosomal RNA (292 nucleotides) under uncultured Acidobacteriota bacterium. RNAcentral's name for it is "uncultured Acidobacteria bacterium partial 16S ribosomal RNA". The record is from RNAcentral. Lineage: Bacteria; Pseudomonadati; Acidobacteriota.
GGACUACAGGGGUUUCUAAUCCUGUUUGCUCCCCACGCUUUCGUGUCUCAGCGUCAGUGAUGGUCCAGAAAGCCGUCUACACCGCAGGUGUUCCUCCUGAUAUCUACGCAUUUCACCGCUACACCAGGAAUUCCGCUUUCCUCUCCCAUACUCAAGCCCUCCAGUUUUCGGCGCACCCUCCCAGUUAAGCCGGGAGAUUUCACACCAAACUUAGAGAACAGCCUACACACUCUUUACGCCCAGUAACUCCGAACAACGCUUGCUGCCUACGUAUUACCGCGGCUGCUGGCAC